This 379-nucleotide ribosomal RNA is filed under the name uncultured bacterium. RNAcentral describes it as "partial 16S ribosomal RNA". It matches the Rfam family "Bacterial small subunit ribosomal RNA", at positions 328 to 724 of the family's 1533-position model. The record is from RNAcentral.
GUUCCAGACUCCUACGGGAGGCAGCAGUGGGGGAUAUUGCACAAUGGGGGGAACCCUGAUGCAGCGACGCCGCGUGGGUGAAGAAGCGCCUCGGCGCGUAAAGCCCUGUCAGCAGGGAAGAAAAUGACGGUACCUGAAGAAGAAGCCCCGGCUAACUACGUGCCAGCAGCCGCGGUAAUACGUAGGGGGCAAGCGUUAACCGGAUUUACUGGGUGUAAAGGGGGCGCAGACGGCGAUGCAAGGCAGGAGUGAAAGCCCGGGGCCCAACCCCGGGACUGCGCUUGGAACUGCGCGGCUGGAGUGCAGGAGGGGCAGGCGGAAUUCCUGGUGUAGCGGUGAAAUGCGUAGAUAUCAGGGGGAACACCGGUGGCGAAGGCGG